This 64-nucleotide transfer RNA is filed under the name Morishitium polonicum. RNAcentral's name for it is "tRNA-Leu". The record is from RNAcentral. Lineage: Eukaryota; Metazoa; Platyhelminthes; Trematoda; Plagiorchiida; Cyclocoelidae.
ACAUAGAUGCCAGAUAAUAUGGGUUGGUUUUAAGCAUCAAAUAUAGGAUUGUUCCUUCUGUGUA